GUUGGCGGUAUCACUGGUACUGUGG
RNAcentral lists this microRNA (25 nucleotides) under Eptesicus fuscus (big brown bat). Its description in RNAcentral is "efu-miR-9186k". The record is from miRBase by way of RNAcentral. Lineage: Eukaryota; Metazoa; Chordata; Mammalia; Chiroptera; Vespertilionidae.